GCUCUUCUCUCUGCGUUUCAAUUCAUUUCUGAUCAGAACCGACACCGGCGAAACUCAAAGCGCUAAUGGCGUCGGCGUCGGCGUCUGCGUCCGUCGUAGCUCUUGCGCUAAGGGUUUUCAAAGGUAUGACUGCAUAUAUGGAGGAAGUGCAGAGAUGCUUGGGAUUUAAUAGCACAGCUUGCAUCAAUUUCGUGAUGACCGUGGUGAUUGCUGCUUCAUUUUUUGACACCGUCAUUGUUGGUGAGUUGAUUUUGAUUGAGAUUCGUGGAGGUGUAGUUGUGGUUUUAUCCUUUGGGCUGGUUUUAUCAUACACAAAGAGAAUGAAGAGGAAUGGUAGGAAGUUUGUAAGAUUUGUGCGGCGCUGCAGCUUGGCGGAGAUUGGGAAGGGACUUGUUAGGUGGCUGGUUUGGGCUUGGCACGCCUAUUUUUUCCUUAUUCAUUUGCUUAAGUUCCUCCUUGCUAUGGCUCGUCUUGGUGCUAGGAUUUGUGGAGCCCAACCACCAGGCACUGAGGCCAUACAUGAUGUUUCUGAAGCUUGGACUACACUUGUUACAUGAUACUGUCCUAACAUGAACUCGAGCACACCGGAUAGGCCGAUCUCAAUUCUGAUCCCUUCAUUCCUUCACGCGAUCUAUACUCACACUCUCAGUCUCUCACAGUAUCACUCAGACACUCACUGUUCCAAGCUUAGAACCCUAGAUCCCCAAUUCAUCAUUCAUCAAUUCGUCCUUUUGCUUUGUUGUUCCGAUCGGAUCUGAAGCAAGACUGCUCUGCUCUCUGAUCAGAGCAUGAAAGCACUGCAUCUAGCAAAACCAAUGUAUGUCCAGCUCCAAAUCCAAGAGCAAAAGGCAAGGGAAAGCUUGGGGCAGCUAGUAAUGUGAUAGAUGUUUGAACUUUGUUCAAUUCAUUUAGUUGUGACUGUUGUGUGCACAUUUUCAAUGAAGUGUCAGAUUGUGAACUGUAAUGGAUUAUAAAAUUAUGCAGAUUUGGUCUUCUUUCAGUUC
RNA transcript from Rosa chinensis, 1004 nucleotides. RefSeq lists it as uncharacterized. Lineage: Eukaryota; Viridiplantae; Streptophyta; Magnoliopsida; Rosales; Rosaceae. The record is from RefSeq and is a predicted model, not a curated record. The transcript has 5 exons.